Molecule: ribosomal RNA, 460 nt
Filed under: uncultured bacterium
Lineage: Bacteria
Description: partial 16S ribosomal RNA
Rfam family: Bacterial small subunit ribosomal RNA
Source: RNAcentral
CCUACGGGUGGCAGCAGUGAGGAAUAUUGGUCAAUGGCCGGAAGGCUGAACCAGCCAUGCCGCGUGAAGGUCGGUGCCCUAUGGGCGUUAAACUUCUUUUGUGUGGGAGCAAUAAUGGUCACGUGUGGCCAGACGAGAGUACCGUACGAAUAAGCAUCGGCUAACUCCGUGCCAGCAGCCGCGGUAAUACGGGGGAUGCAAGCGUUAUCCGGAUUUAUUGGGUUUAAAGGGUGCGUAGGCUGUGAGGUAAGUCAGCGGUGAAAUGCCCCCGCUCAACGGGGUGAAGUGCCAUUGAUACUGCCUGGCUGGAAUGCGGAUGCCGUGGGAGGAAUGUGUGGUGUAGCGGUGAAAUGCAUAGAUAUCACACAGAACACCGAUUGCGAAGGCAUCUCACGAAUCCGCGAUUGACGCUGAUGCACGAAAGCGUGGGUAUCAAACAGGAUUAGAUACCCGUGUAGUC